CGAAACUUUGUUUCCUUGGCUGCCUUGACUUAGUGUGCGUGCAUCGUGAUGUGUGCAACGCACAAAGACCUCUGAUAACAUUGAGUGAGCUCAAAAUGUAGGUCAAAUUACUUCCGAAUGAUGUAUGGUGG
This is a non-coding RNA of Caenorhabditis elegans, 131 nucleotides long. The record is from Ensembl. Lineage: Eukaryota; Metazoa; Nematoda; Chromadorea; Rhabditida; Rhabditidae.